Molecule: non-coding RNA, 1036 nt
Organism: Pelobates cultripes (western spadefoot toad)
Lineage: Eukaryota; Metazoa; Chordata; Amphibia; Anura; Pelobatidae
Source: the annotation of a GenBank genome assembly
CUGGAAUUCGCGAUACUUGAAAGACUGCAGAGAUUGGCAUCUGUUACGUUCGAUCUUCCGACAGAUCGACUAUGGGGCCCGUUACAACUGGACUUGUUCGCAUCCAGACUGAACGCUCAACUACCCCAAUACUUCAAUUGGAGACCGGAUCCAUCAGCCACGGCGGUGGAUGCGUUCCUGCAGAUAUGGCCUCGGGGUCGUCACUUUCAACCUGAUCUCUCGGACGCUGGCAUACUUGUCCGGACAAGAAUGCACGUUGGUGGUGAUUGUUCCCCUAUGGCAGACUCAGCCUUGGUUUCCACGUCUUUUGGAGAUGGCGGCGGAGUGCCCACGGAUGAUCAGGAUGCGAUCAGAGGUGCUUUUGGAUCCGGAUGGGAACUCGCACGACUUAGUGGACCCGAACCUGCUCCAGCUCAUGGCUUGGUUGAUUUCCGGGGACCCUGGUGUGUCUCGGACGUUCCGCAGGCUACUACAAGACUCCUGGAGAAUGCCUGGGCACCGGGGACCAGAACAGCUUACAAUGCUGCAUGGCGUGUGUGGUCUGGCUGGUGCGUGGGCAGACUGCUGGAUCCCCUUUCUGCCCCUCUGAAGGAGGUGCUCAGUUUUCUGACCACGCGUUUUGAAUCUGGUUUGGCCUAUCGCACUAUCAAUGUUUAUAGAUUGGCCAUUUCAGCCGGACAUAUAGGUAUUGACGGAUCACCGAUUGGACAACAUCUUUUUGUGUGCCGUUUGUUGAAGGGUAUUCGUUACUCUAGGCCUCCGAAAUCCAAAUAUUCAUCGUUUUGGGAUGUUAACGUGGUGCUGGACUUCUUGGAAUCAUGGCCUCCUAAUGAGGACCUGUCACUGAAGCAAUUAUCCUGGAAAUUGGUUAUGCUCCUGUGUCUCCUUUCAUGCAAAAGGGUUUCAGAUGUCAGGGCUUUGGACUGGAACGCAUUAUCCUUCACCCCCGAGGGAGUGUCGUUUAACAUCUCUAGGAGGACGAAGACGUCUUCUAAGUCCGUGACCUACCCUAGGUGUUCAGUCCGACCUGCUCUGU